AGGCACCUACGGGGCGCAGCAGUGGGGAAUAUUGGGCAAUGGGCGCAAGCCUGACCCAGCAACGCCGCGUGAAGGAAGAAGGCUUUCGGGUUGUAAACUUCUUUUCUCAGGGACGAAGAAAGUGACGGUACCUGAGGAAUAAGCCACGGCUAACUACGUGCCAGCAGCCGCGGUAAUACGUAGGUGGCAAGCGUUAUCCGGAUUUACUGGGUGUAAAGGGCGUGUAGGCGGGGAAGCAAGUCAGAUGUGAAAACCA
Molecule: ribosomal RNA, 256 nt
Filed under: uncultured bacterium
Lineage: Bacteria
Description: partial 16S ribosomal RNA
Rfam family: Bacterial small subunit ribosomal RNA
Source: RNAcentral